This 989-nucleotide ribosomal RNA is filed under the name bacterium enrichment culture clone ZZ_B11. RNAcentral describes it as "bacterial SSU rRNA". It matches the Rfam family "Bacterial small subunit ribosomal RNA", at positions 16 to 1021 of the family's 1533-position model. The record is from RNAcentral.
AUCCUGGCUCAGGACGAACGCUGGCGGCGUGCUUAACACAUGCAAGUCGAGCGAUGAAGCUUCUUCGGGAGUGGAUUAGCGGCGGACGGGUGAGUAACACGUGGGUAACCUGCCUCAUAGAGGGGAAUAGCCUUUCGAAAGGAAGAUUAAUACCGCAUAAGAUUGUAGUACCGCAUGGUACAGCAAUUAAAGGAGUAAUCCGCUAUGAGAUGGACCCGCGUCGCAUUAGCUAGUUGGUGAGGUAACGGCUCACCAAGGCGACGAUGCGUAGCCGAUCUGAGAGGGUGAUCGGCCACAUUGGGACUGAGACACGGCCCAGACUCCUACGGGAGGCAGCAGUGGGGAAUAUUGCACAAUGGGGGAAACCCUGAUGCAGCAACGCCGCGUGAGUGAUGACGGCCUUCGGGUUGUAAAACUCUGUCUUUGGGGACGAUAAUGACGGUACCCAAGGAGGAAGCCACGGCUAACUACGUGCCAGCAGCCGCGGUAAUACGUAGGUGGCAAGCGUUGUCCGGAUUUACUGGGCGUAAAGGGAGCGUAGGUGGAUAUUUAAGUGGGAUGUGAAAUACUCGGGCUUAACCUGGGUGCUGCAUUCCAAACUGGAUAUCUAGAGUGCAGGAGAGGAAAGGAGAAUUCCUAGUGUAGCGGUGAAAUGCGUAGAGAUUAGGAAGAAUACCAGUGGCGAAGGCGCCUUUCUGGACCGUAACUGACACUGAGGCUCGAAAGCGUGGGGAGCAAACAGGAUUAGAUACCCUGGUAGUCCACGCCGUAAACGAUAAAUACUANGUGUAGGGGUCGUCAUGACCUCUGUGCCGCCGCUAACGCAUUAAGUAUUCCGCCUGGGGAGUACGGUCGCAAGAUUAAAACUCAAAGGAANUGACGGGGGCCCGCACAAGCAGCGGNNCAUGUGGUUUAAUUUCGAAGCAACGCGAAGAANCUUACCUAGACUUGACAUCUNCNGAAUUACUCUGUAAUGGNNGAAGCCACUU